GCGAAAGCUAAUUGCAUUUACUUAAAAUUAAAUUUUAAGAGAGUGUCCCUUUUUAUUUAUAAAAAAUUGGAUGGCUUUUAAGAGAGUGGUCCCUUUUUAUUUUAAAAAUUUGAAAACCUUUUAAAGAGGAAGGGUCCAUUUUUUAUGUAGUUACUACUUUGUAGUUUAAAAUUCUAGAUAGAAUUAUGAUGAUGACAUUAUCUAUCUAUUAGUCUUGACCAAAUUACGUGCCAGCAGUCGCGGUAAUACGUAAAAGACAAGUGUUAUUCAUCUUUAUUGGGUUUAAAGAGUACCAAGACGGUUAAUAAAGCCCAAAAUACAUGAACACAGGGGACACAUUAACUAGAGUUAUAUGAAAGGAAGCACUAAAGUACUGUUGAGUGUAGAGAUAAAAUUCUAUCAUACCAGAUAAAGGCACAGAUUUAUGCGAAGGCAUCUUCUUAUGUAAUAACUGACGUUGUAGGACGAAGGCUUUUUAAGUGAAGAGGAUUAGAGACCCUUGUAAUCUAAGCAGAAAAUGAUGAAUGUCAUAGGUUUAAUAUAUUAUUGGGUCUAUAAAUGAAAGUGUAAGCAUUCCACCUCAAGAGUAAUUUGGCAACAUUGGAACUGAAAUCAUUAGACCGUUUCUGAAACCAGUAGUGAAGUAUGUUGUUUAAUUAGAUGAUACACAAAAAACCUUACCACAAUUUGAAUAUAUAUCUUUAAAGAUAUUUACAAGCGUUGCACGGCUGUCUUCAGUUAAUGUCGUGAGAUUUUGGUUAGUUCCAUAAAAUUAACGUAAACCCUCGUUUUAUUUAGAAAUAAAAUUUAGAUCUGUUUCAAU
RNAcentral lists this ribosomal RNA (823 nucleotides) under Ricasolia amplissima. Its description in RNAcentral is "SSU rRNA". It matches the Rfam family "Bacterial small subunit ribosomal RNA", at positions 1 to 1147 of the family's 1533-position model. The record is from RNAcentral. Lineage: Eukaryota; Fungi; Ascomycota; Lecanoromycetes; Peltigerales; Lobariaceae.